UGAGUAACCUGCCCUUCACUCUGGGAUAACUCCGGGGAAACCGGGGCUAAUACUGGAUAUGACUCGAACAGGCAUCUGUUUCGGGUGGAAAGAUUUAUUGGUGGAGGAUGGACUCGCGGCCUAUCAGCUUGUUGGUGAGGUAAUGGCUCACCAAGGCGACGACGGGUAGCCGGCCUGAGAGGGCGAUCGGCCACACUGGGACUGAGACACGGCCCAGACUCCUACGGGAGCA
RNAcentral lists this ribosomal RNA (232 nucleotides) under uncultured bacterium. RNAcentral's name for it is "partial 16S ribosomal RNA". It matches the Rfam family "Bacterial small subunit ribosomal RNA", at positions 118 to 347 of the family's 1533-position model. The record is from RNAcentral.